Long non-coding RNA from Eriocheir sinensis (Chinese mitten crab), 1604 nucleotides. RefSeq lists it as uncharacterized. NCBI's taxonomy places the organism in Eukaryota, Metazoa, Arthropoda, Malacostraca, Decapoda, Varunidae. The transcript is spliced from 3 exons. The record is from RefSeq and is a predicted model, not a curated record.
UUUACAAGAGGUUUUAAUAGCUGGGUUAACAAGAGGUUUUAAUGGCUGGGUUCAAGAGAGGUUUUAAUAGCUGGGUUCAAGAGAGGUUUUAAUAGCUGGGUUCAAGAGAGGUUUUAAUAGCUGGGUUCAAGAGAGGUUUUAAUAGCUGGGUUCAAGAGAGGUUUUAAUAGCUGGGUUCAAGAGAGGUUUUAAUAGCUGGGUUCAAGAGAGGUUUUAAUAGCUGGGUUCAAGAGAGGUUUUAAUAGCUGGGUUCAAGAGAGGUUUUACUGGCUGGGUUUACAAGAGGUUUUAAUAGCUGGGUUCAAGAGAGGUUUUAAUAGCUGGGUUCAAGAGAGGUUUUAAUGGCUGGGUUCAAGAGAGGUUUUAAUGGCUGGGUUCAAGAGAGGUUUUAAUGGCUGGGUUCAAGAGAGGUUUUAAUAGCUGGGUUCAAGAGAGGUUUUAAUAGCUGGGUUCAAGAGAGGUUUUAAUAGCUGGGUUCAAGAGAGGUUUUAAUAGCUGGGUUCAAGAGAGGUUUUAAUAGCUGGGUUCAAGAGAGGUUUUAAUAGCUGGGUUUACAAGAGGUUUUAAUAGCUGGGUUUACAAGAGGUUUUAAUAGCUGGGUUCAAGAGAGGUUUUAAUGGCUGGGUUUACAAGAUGUUUUAAUAGCUGGGUUCAAGAGAGGUUUUACUAGCUGGGUUCAAGAGAGGUUUUACUGGCUGGGUUUACAAGAGGUUUUAAUAGCUGGGUUCAAGAGAGGUUUUAAUGGCUGGGUUUACAAGAUGUUUUAAUAGCUGGGUUCAAGAGAGGUUUUAAUGGCUGGGUUUACAAGAGGUUUUAAUAGCUGGGUUCAAGAGAGGUUUUAAUAGCUGGGUUCAAGAGAGGUUUUAAUAGCUGGGUUCAAGAGAGGUUUUAAUAGCUGGGUUCAAGAGAGGUUUUAAUAGCUGGGUUCAAGAGAGGUUUUACUGGCUGGGUUCAAGAGAGGUUUUAAUAGCUGGGUUCAAGAGAGGUUUUAAUAGCUGGGUUUACAAGAGGUUUUAAUAGCUGGGUUCAAGAGAGGUUUUAAUGGCUGGGUUCAAGAGAGGUUUUAAUAUCUGGGUUUACAAGAGGUUUUAAUAGCUGGGUUCAAGAGAGGUUUUAAUAUCUGGGUUUACAAGAGGUUUUAAUGGCUGGGUUCAAGAGAGGUUUUAAUAUCUGGGUUUACAAGAGGUUUUAAUGGCUGGGUUCAAGAGAGGUUUUAAUAUCUGGGUUUACAAGAGGUUUUAAUAGCUGGGUUUACAAGAAGUUUUAAUGGAUGGGUUCAAGAGAGGUUUUAAUGGCUGGGUUUACAAGAUGUUUUAAUAGCUGGGUUCAAGAGAGGUUUUAAUAGCUGGGUUCAAGAGAGGUUUUAAUAGCUGGGUUCAAGAGAGGUUUUAAUGGCUGGGUUUACAAGAUGUUUUAAUAGCUGGGUUCAAGAGAAGUUUUAAUGGCUGGGUUCACAAGAGGUUUUAAUAGCUGGGUUCAAGAGAGGUUUUAAUAGCUGGGUUUACAAGAGGUUUUAAUAGCUGGGUUCAAGAGAGGUUUUAAUGGUACAUAUCUACUGAAUGUUGCAAUGUUACAUAUCUUGACAUGCUCUCAGGGUAAGGAGU